AAUAUUGGACAAUGGGGGAAACCCUGAUCCAGCCAUCCCGCGUGUAUGAUGAAGGCCUUCGGGUUGUAAAGCUCUGUCUUCGCUGACGAUAAUGACGGUAAGCGAGGAGGAAGCCACGGCUAACUUCGUGCCAGCAGCCGCGGCAAUACGUAGGUGGCAAGCGUUAUCCGGAAUUAUUGGGCGUAAAGGGUGCGCAGGCGGCAAUUUAAGUCCGUGGUAAAAGACUGAAGCUCAACUUCAGGUGGCCAUGGAAACUGGGUUGCUAGAGUGCAGGAGAGGGUAGUGGAAUUCCAUGUGUAGCGGUAAAAUGCGUAGAUAUAUGGAGGAACACCAGUGGCGAAAGCGGCUACCUGGCCUGUAACUGACGCUCAUGCACGAAAGCGUGGGGAGCAAAUAGG
RNAcentral lists this ribosomal RNA (398 nucleotides) under uncultured bacterium. RNAcentral describes it as "partial 16S ribosomal RNA". It matches the Rfam family "Bacterial small subunit ribosomal RNA", at positions 360 to 776 of the family's 1533-position model. The record is from RNAcentral.